CAGAAUCAUUUCUUCAACGAAAUGCCAUAAUAUACAUUGCUCUUCAACAUUACAUGUCUUUACAAGAUAAAAAUUAAAUUAAAAGGAAAUGAUAAGAGUAAUCAAAAUGACAAGGGAUGUUAAAGACAUGGUAUGUGAAAAUGAGAGUUAUACAUCUAUGAAAUAAGUGAAUGCACCUGUUGUUAGAAAUGGAGUUAAUGUGAUAGUCAUGGGCAUGAGCAUAUAUUCUCCGACACCUAGGCACAAGGCUGAUUUCACUACUGGUCAACUGGAUCAGUAAAAAUGAAAGAGGUGUUAGAACCAGAGAUCACAAAAGUAGAGAAUAUUAUAAUAAGCAUUUUCAGAUGUCAAAAUCAUGAUUUCCAUGAGCAGACAAGUAUAUUAGAGUGAAAAAGACUACCACGGUAAGUGUAGAGACGGGACACCCCCAAGUGGGAAAGAAAAGUCAUUGCUCAAGCCCACGGGUUUAUCCAAACAUCCUCCAUUUGCAGUAUAUGGUUUGGAGCUUGUUGGUAUGCUUGGACCUACAACAGGACCAUUUCCAGCAGCUUU
This 552-nucleotide long non-coding RNA is filed under the name Populus tremula. RNAcentral's name for it is "long non-coding RNA (PTRE_LNC001542)". The record is from RNAcentral. Lineage: Eukaryota; Viridiplantae; Streptophyta; Magnoliopsida; Malpighiales; Salicaceae.